Molecule: ribosomal RNA, 374 nt
Filed under: uncultured bacterium
Lineage: Bacteria
Description: bacterial SSU rRNA
Rfam family: Bacterial small subunit ribosomal RNA
Source: RNAcentral
ACUCCUACGGGAGGCAGCAGUAGGGAAUCUUCCACAAUGGGCGCAAGCCUGAUGGAGCAACACCGCGUGAGUGAAGAAGGGUUUCGGCUCGUAAAGCUCUGUUGUUAAAGAAGAACACGUAUGAGAGUAACUGUUCAUACGUUGACGGUAUUUAACCAGAAAGUCACGGCUAACUACGUGCCAGCAGCCGCGGUAAUACGUAGGUGGCAAGCGUUAUCCGGAUUUAUUGGGCGUAAAGAGAGUGCAGGCGGUUUUCUAAGUCUGAUGUGAAAGCCUUCGGGCUUAACCGGAGAAGUGCAUCGGAAACUGGAUAACUUGAGUGCAGAAGAGGGUAGGUGGAACUCCAUGUGUAGCGGUAGGAAUGCGUAGAUAUA